GAUGAACGCUGGCGGCGUGCCUAAUACAUGCAAGUCGAGCGAACGGACGAGGAGCUUGCUCUUCUGAUGUUAGCGGCGGACGGGCGAGUAACACGUGGAUAACCUACCUAUAAGACUGGGAUAACUUCGGGAAACCGGAGCUAAUACCGGAUAAUAUUUUGAACCGCAUGGUUCAAUAGUGAAAGACGGUCUUGCUGUCACUUAUAGAUGGAUCCGCGCUGCAUUAGCUAGUUGGUAAGGUAACGGCUUACCAAGGCAACGAUACAUACCCGACCUGAGAGGGUGAUCGGCCACACUGGAACGGAGACACGGUCCAGACUCCUACGGGAGGCAGCAGUAGGGAAUCUUCCGCAAUGGGCGAAAGCCUGACGGAGCAACGCCGCGUGAGUGAUGAAGGUCUUCGGAUCGUAAAACUCUGUUAUUAGGGAAGAACAUAUGUGUAAGUAACUGUGCACAUCUUGACGGUACCUAAUCAGAAAGCCACGGCUAACUACGUG
RNAcentral lists this ribosomal RNA (497 nucleotides) under uncultured bacterium. Its description in RNAcentral is "partial 16S ribosomal RNA". It matches the Rfam family "Bacterial small subunit ribosomal RNA", at positions 28 to 507 of the family's 1533-position model. The record is from RNAcentral.